This 771-nucleotide ribosomal RNA is filed under the name uncultured Actinomycetes bacterium. Its description in RNAcentral is "bacterial SSU rRNA". It matches the Rfam family "Bacterial small subunit ribosomal RNA", at positions 64 to 822 of the family's 1533-position model. Lineage: Bacteria; Bacillati; Actinomycetota; Actinomycetes. The record is from RNAcentral.
GAGCGAGAACCAGGGCUUCGGCCCUGGGGACAGCGGCGAACGGGUGAGUAACACGUGGGUAAUCCACCCUCGGCACCGGAAUAGCCCGGGGAAACCCGGAUUAAUGCCGGAUGGCCCGCCGGCCCCGCGGGGCUGGCGGAAAAGGUAGCUUCGGCCUCCGGCCGAGGACGAGCCCGCGACGGAUUAGCUUGUUGGUGGGGUAACGGCCUACCAAGGCUGCGAUCCGUAGCUGGUCUGAGAGGACGAUCAGCCACACUGGGACUGAGACACGGCCCAGACUCCUACGGGAGGCAGCAGUGGGGAAUCUUGCGCAAUGGGCGAAAGCCUGACGCAGCGACGCCGCGUGGGGGAAGAAGGCCUUCGGGUUGUAAACCUCUUUCAGGGGGGACGAAGCCACUCGGGUUAACAGCCCAGAGGGUGACGGUACCUCCAGAAGAAGCCCCGGCUAACUACGUGCCAGCAGCCGCGGUAAUACGUAGGGGGCAAGCGUUGUCCGGAUUUAUUGGGCGUAAAGAGCGUGUAGGCGGCCAGGUAGGUCUGCUGUGAAAACUCGAGGCUUAACCUCGAGCUGUCGGCGGAAACCAUCUGGCUAGAGUCCGGAAGAGGAGAAUGGAAUUCCCGGUGUAGCGGUGAAAUGCGCAGAUAUCGGGAAGAACACCCGUGGCGAAGGCGGUUCUCUGGGACGGUACUGACGCUGAGACGCGAAAGCGUGGGGAGCGAACAGGAUUAGAUACCCUGGUAGUCCACGCCGUAAACGAUGAGUGCUAGGUG